RNAcentral lists this long non-coding RNA (1052 nucleotides) under Homo sapiens (human). Its description in RNAcentral is "long non-coding RNA NONHSAT215557.1". The record is from RNAcentral. Lineage: Eukaryota; Metazoa; Chordata; Mammalia; Primates; Hominidae.
CUUAGAUCCCAGGGGACCCAAAGGGGAGAUACAUUUGGGCAGGGGAAAGAUCAUCCUGACAUUCUUCAGCCUAACCAGUAAGUUGCUGCUGACUCUGCAUGCUCGUGAGACAGCCCAACCUCCAUAGUAAUUAUCAGUGCUUAUACCAAGGUUCAAGGCUGCCUUUUUGCCAGUGCCUCUGCUUAAUGAUCACUUCUCUCUAUGUUCUUCACGACCUCACAGCUCCAUCGCACUCUGCUGCACUGGCCACCUGCAUAUCAAGGUUGCACUUCAUCUGUACGUCCUGUCUCUGGCAACUGUGAUGUUCAACUUCCCUGAACUAGAAGAAGAGGGAAGAAGAAAAACCUCUUCUUUGUUGAGAAUUCAUUCCAGCACAAUUACCCGGCAGGGAGCCUGCCUUCUAGGUUCCCUCCCACGCACUGCUGGAAGCUUCCAGCAUCCUAUCUCUGCAGCUCUAACCCUGUGUCUGCUUUGAUAAGAGCUAUGGUGUAAUCAGCGCAGCCGCAGUUCUCUAGCUCUGAUUCCCCCUUGUGGCUUCUGCAUUCCUGUUGAUAAUUAAAGAAAGCUUUCUUGCCAUGAUGCAGGCUAUAUAAAAUAAGUUAAUAAGUAAUAAAGCAGCUGGCCUUAAGCCAGGAACUUGCUGCUGCUGGUAUCGGUCCCAUCCUGUGGUAUAGUUACUGAGGGGGAAGGAAGCUUGGCUCUCAGACACAGGCUUUUGGAAUGGAUAGCUGAGAGAGUCAGCUUGGCUUGAUGUGCCACUAAAAAUGUAAGAGCCAUAAAGAACAUUCUGUGAGAGAGUUUAUGGGUCCUUGGCCUUUGAAUGAGAUGGAUCGCUGACCCUCCUUCCUAUGUUCCCACCUCAUCUUCUCUCAAGUCCCAGAUUAUUUAACUCUUUUUGCCAACCGUAUCACUGCAUAGCUCACUCCUAUUUUAUUAGGUUUAAAAUAAAUGCAGCAGGGACCUGAUCUCCAAGUUUUGUGUUACUCAACCCUUGAUUUCAUAUCUUCCUUUUGAAGAUUGCACCCUGAUACAUUAAAGAUGAGUGCCUUGAG